GGGCCCGCACAAGCGGUGGAGUAUGUGGUUUAAUUCGAUGCAACGCGAAGAACCUUACCAGGGUUUGACAUCCUGCGAAUCUCUUGGAAACGAGAGAGUGCCUUCGGGAACGCAGUGACAGGUGGUGCAUGGCUGUCGUCAGCUCGUGUCGUGAGAUGUUGGGUUAAGUCCCGCAACGAGCGCAACCACAUUCUUAGUUGCCAGCAGUUCGGCUGGGCACUCUAAGAAAACUGCCCGUGAUAAGCGGGAGGAAGGUGUGGAUGACGUCAAGUCCUCAUGGCCCUUACGGGUUGGGCUACACACGUGCUACAAUGGUAUGACAAUGGGU
RNAcentral lists this ribosomal RNA (328 nucleotides) under uncultured bacterium. RNAcentral's name for it is "bacterial SSU rRNA". It matches the Rfam family "Bacterial small subunit ribosomal RNA", at positions 917 to 1247 of the family's 1533-position model. The record is from RNAcentral.